Oryza sativa Japonica Group (Japanese rice) is the source of this 245-nucleotide non-coding RNA. The record is from RefSeq and is a predicted model, not a curated record. NCBI's taxonomy places the organism in Eukaryota, Viridiplantae, Streptophyta, Magnoliopsida, Poales, Poaceae.
CUCAGGGGACGCAACCCACGCAAUACAACUUGCGAUCCACUCGGGCAGCGAAAAAGAGGUACACUCCGGGCUCGCAAGCAAUUCGGUGCCAACGGAAGAAGUAAUUUGUAUGAAGUUAAUUUAUUAGUUGGUAGUAUGACAUAUGUGGUGCACUAUGUGAUAUAAAAUGUGAUGGACUAUGUGAGGACUAUGUGAUGGAUUUUUGACAUUGUUUCAUGUGUGGAAUAUAGGAUGGACUUUUUGCA